UUCUGUAAGCCUGCGAAGGUGGCCUGUGAGGGUUGCUGGAGGUAUCAGAAGUGCGAAUGCUGACAUAAGUAACGAUAAUGCGGGUGAAAAGCCCGCACGCCGGAAGACCAAGGGUUCCUGUCCAACGUUAAUCGGGGCAGGGUGAGUCGACCCCUAAGGCGAGGCCGAAAGGCGUAGUCGAUGGGAAACAGGUUAAUAUUCCUGUACUUGGUGUUACUGCGAAGGGGGGACGGAGAAGGCUAUGUUAGCCGGGCGACGGUUGUCCCGGUUUAAGCAUGUAGGCGGAGGUUCCAGGUAAAUCCGGUACCUUUUAACGCUGAGGUGUGAUGACGAGGCACUACGGUGCUGAAGUAACAAAUGCCCUGCUUCCAGGAAAAGCCUCUAAGCAUCAGGUAACAUUGAAUCGUACCCCAAACCGACACAGGUGGUCAGGUAGAGAAUACCAAGGCGCUUGAGAGAACUCGGGUGAAGGAACUAGGCAAAAUGGUGCCGUAACUUCGGGAGAAGGCACGCUGAUAUGUAGGUGAAGCCCCUGCGGGUGGAGCUGAAAUCAGUCGAAGAUACCAGCUGGCUGCAACUGUUUAUUAAAAACACAGCACUGUGCAAACACGAAAGUGGACGUAUACGGUGUGACGCCUGCCCGGUGCCGGAAGGUUAAUUGAUGGGGUUAUCCGUAAGGAGAAGCUCUUGAUCGAAGCCCCGGUAAACGGCGGCCGUAACUAUAACGGUCCUAAGGUAGCGAAAUUCCUUGUCGGGUAAGUUCCGACCUGCACGAAUGGCGUAAUGAUGGCCAGGCUGUCUCCACCCGAGACUCAGUGAAAUUGAACUCGCUGUGAAGAUGCAGUGUACCCGCGGCAAGACGGAAAGACCCCGUGAACCUUUACUAUAGCUUGACACUGAACAUUGAGCCUUGAUGUGUAGGAUAGGUGGGAGGCUUUGAAGCGUGGACGCCAGUCUGCGUGGAGCCAACCUUGAAAUACCACCCUUUAAUGUUUGAUGUUCUAACGUUGGCCCCUUAUCGGGGUUGCGGACAGUGUCUGGUGGGUAGUUUGACUGGGGCGGUCUCCUCCCAAAGAGUAACGGAGGAGCACGAAGGUUAGCUAAUCCUGGUCGGACAUCAGGAGGUUAGUGCAAUGGCAUAAGCUAGCUUGACUGCGAGCGUGACGGCGCGAGCAGGUGCGAAAGCAGGUCAUAGUGAUCCGGUGGUUCUGAAUGGAAGGGCCAUCGCUCAACGGAUAAAAGGUACUCCGGGGAUAACAGGCUGAUACCGCCCAAGAGUUCAUAUCGACGGCGGUGUUUGGCACCUCGAUGUCGGCUCAUCACAUCCUGGGGCUGAAGUAGGUCCCAAGGGUAUGGCUGUUCGCCAUUUAAAGUGGUACGCGAGCUGGGUUUAGAACGUCGUGAGACAGUUCGGUCCCUAUCUGCCGUGGGCGCUGGAGAAUUGAGGGGGGCUGCUCCUAGUACGAGAGGACCGGAGUGGACGCAUCACUGGUGUUCGGGUUGUCAUGCCAAUGGCAUUGCCCGGUAGCUAAAUGCGGAAGAGAUAAGUGCUGAAAGCAUCUAAGCACGAAACUUGCCCCGAGAUGAGUUCUCCCUGAGACUUUAAGUCUCCUGAAGGAACGUUAAAG
Molecule: ribosomal RNA, 1628 nt
Filed under: Klebsiella aerogenes
Lineage: Bacteria; Pseudomonadati; Pseudomonadota; Gammaproteobacteria; Enterobacterales; Enterobacteriaceae
Description: partial 23S ribosomal RNA
Rfam family: Bacterial large subunit ribosomal RNA
Source: RNAcentral